AUUUGCUUACUAAUAAUCCAGAUCCAUGUCAAAUGUCAAGUGCUGUUCUUACUGUUCAUAUAAACAAAAACUGACAGUAAUCUCUGCAAAAGAAAUUCCACCUUGAAGCCUGCUCCCUGCAGGAUGCUACACACUGCACAGCGAUGAUUCAGUUCCCAGAAACUCUGCCUACCAAUAACAAGUAUCAGCUCCAAGCAGGACCGAUCAAUUUUCAACCUAAUGCUGACAGGUAACAUCUCUGGCCAUUUAAUUUGCUGUUUCCACUUCACAUUUUUUUUCAUUAGGCAGAUGAAGAAAAAAAAUCGCCUAUCUGGAGCUGUGGACUUUGUUUUCAAGCACCAAAAAGAUGUUAAAAUUAAUCCUCAGCUGUUGUAUCCAGAAGCCUAAAGUGAUUCCUAAGAGAGAAAGAAUGGUUUUCCAGAAAGAUUGUCACACUGAAGUGACAGCCACUAACUACAGCAGGGAUCUGAUAUUGCUCUGCUUUUAUGUCACAGAAGGAAUCAUCAGAUGAACAGGCUCCAUGCUUAAAAAUAAAAGGACACCAAUGCUGCUGUAGCAAAAAAGCAAAGAAAAAAAAAACCCAGUGCUUCUCACAUACAGCU
Molecule: long non-coding RNA, 602 nt
Organism: Apus apus (common swift)
Lineage: Eukaryota; Metazoa; Chordata; Aves; Apodiformes; Apodidae
Exons: 4
Source: RefSeq, a predicted model, not a curated record